UGGCCGAGCCUUGACAUUGUCUUUUACAUUGUGUUUUUGGUGUUUCAUUAACCUUAUUGAUAUAACGAGUGUUGAAUGUUAUCUUGUUAGGGCCGUUUCAAUGGAAGGGAAAAAACCAAGUUGGCGGCUUCUUAUCUCGAUGGAGUCAUCAAUCAUUAUUGAAAUGAAUCGUUUACUACGAAAGUGUCAUGUGGAGCGGAUUAGGAUGACUCCAUUUAUGUGGUGUUUGAAUAUUGGAAGCCCUGUGGAGGUGAAUUUGAAAUUGUUGAAGGUUAUGGUUUGCAGGUGGGUCGGGCAUGAUAAUAGUUUU
RNAcentral lists this small RNA (310 nucleotides) under Vigna angularis var. angularis. Its description in RNAcentral is "Non-protein coding transcript". The record is from RNAcentral. Lineage: Eukaryota; Viridiplantae; Streptophyta; Magnoliopsida; Fabales; Fabaceae.